AAGGUGUCUUCCGCAACUUGCCUAGAGAGCUAGCCAUCUUGGAGAAUCCGGAGAUGGGGACAAAGAUCAGUGCCUGAAAGGCUCACCUUGGGCUGACACGACUCCCAGGGCUUCGGCGCAGAGGAAAGCACAUCGCUGGGAAAUCCUAGCAGGAUUUGAGAAGUCAUUCUGAGUUUACAAGGCUGCCUAGACGUCUCCUGACAGGCGAUUCGAGCCAUCUCUGAGUGGCAUGAGACACAGAUUUCCUUAACAAGGCUCGGCUGGUCAUGGAAACUGGAUGCUGCCUUCAAAAUAUAAAUAAUAUAACUUUAUUCUUCUCCAGGCAACCAGGUCUUUGAUAUCGCCUUUGGCUGAAGCAAAGUCCAAAGGUGGCCAGCAUGCUGCCAAAUAGCCCUGUUAGAUUGUAGCUUGAGGGAGGGAAACAGCACUUUCUCCAUCUUUAAGGGUUUGAAUGAUGUUACCUAAUUAUAUGAAUAUUCUGUGGAACUGAGCUAACAAAACACAGCUUCUGAGAUUUGUGAUGUGAAGAAAAUCAAGAAAAAACCACUGGUUUCUGGAUAGGCAAAAAUGCCAUAUUUUUCCUUUAAACUAAGUCGGUCUGAAUUCAGAAGACUAAGGGGUUCAUCUCAUGUCUGCUUUCUAAAGUACUUCUGUUGGUUCUUCCCGGAAUUUCAUUUACAGUUUGGUGGUGGGGGAAAUCCAUGUAGAUACAUGUUAGCCUUAAACUACUCCUAAUUUCCUGCUACUGAAUAUUGUCUUUAUAAUAACUCAUUGAUUCAGAGAAUACAGAAGGCAGAGCUUGGGUUUUCUAUUGUUCUGUCCCCUGCCCCCACCCCACACAUACAAAUUUUCCCAGUGAAGUGUUUUGUAAAAAAAAAAAACCUAACCAACCAACCAAACAAAAACCUUAGGAAAUGAAUAUUAAAAUAUUCCAAAUGAGUUUUAAAUGCUACCCCAAUCUGAGGUUUGCUUCUCAGUGAAAAAAGGCAUGGCAUAAUAGAUAUGAAAUAGCAAUUCUCUAUUUUCUGCUAAUCUAUUUACUGUGCAAAACAACCACAU
This is a long non-coding RNA of Bos taurus (domestic cattle), 1059 nucleotides long. Lineage: Eukaryota; Metazoa; Chordata; Mammalia; Artiodactyla; Bovidae. The record is from Ensembl.